This 206-nucleotide ribosomal RNA is filed under the name uncultured bacterium. Its description in RNAcentral is "partial 16S ribosomal RNA". It matches the Rfam family "Bacterial small subunit ribosomal RNA", at positions 568 to 774 of the family's 1533-position model. The record is from RNAcentral.
CGCGUAGGCGGAUUAGAAAGUUGGGGUGAAAUCCCAGGGCUCAACCCUGGAACUGCCUCCAAAACUACUAGUCUAGAGUUCGAGAGAGGUGAGUGGAAUUCCGAGUGUAGAGGUGAAAUUCGUAGAUAUUCGGAGGAACACCAGUGGCGAAGGCGGCUCACUGGCUCGAUACUGACGCUGAGGUGCGAAAGUGCGGGGAGCAAACA